GUCAAGUACAAAGAGCAUCGGGUGGAUGCCUUGGCACUGGGAGCCGAAGAAGGACGUGAUAAGCUGCGAUAAGCUGCGGUAAGGAGCACAUAUCCGAUAUACCCGCAGAUUUCCGAAUGGGGGAACCCACAUGCGGUAAUGCGUAUGUAUCAUUAAGUGAAUACAUAGCUUAAUGAAGGGAACGGGGUGAACUGAAACAUCUAAGUAGCCCUAGGAAGAGAAAGAAAAAUCGAUUUCCUGAGUAGCGGCGAGCGAAAGGGAAAGAGGCCAAACCAAAUUGUUUACAGUUUGGGGUUGUGGACCACCAACAUUGACGAAGUUAUGCGAGCCGAAUAGGGUUGGAAAGCUCAAGCAGAGAAGGUAAUACUCCUGUAGGCGAAGCAGAAAGCGCAUAGGUGGCACCAGAGUAGGACCGGACACGUGUAACCCGGUCUGAAGCAGGAGGGACCACCCUCCAAGCCUAAAUACUACCCAGUGACCGAUAGCGAAUAGUACCGUGAGGGAAAGGUGAAAAGAACCCCGGGAGGGGAGUGAAAUAGAAUCUGAAACCUGAUGCUUACAAGCAUAGGGAGCGCAAGUGACCUAGUACUUUUUGUAGAACGGGCCAACGAGUUAUGGUAUGUAGCGAGGUUAAGUUGCUGGAGCAACGGAGCCGUAGAGAAAUCGAGUCUGAAUAGGGCGAGAGUUACAUGCUGUAGACCCGAAACCGGGUGACCUAUCCAUGAGCAGGUUGAAGUAACCGUAAAAGGUUAUGGAGGACCGAACCUAUAUCUGUUGAAAAAGGUUAGGAUGACUUGUGGAUAGCGGUGAAAUUCCAAUCGAACUCGGAUAUAGCUGGUUCUCCUCGAAAUAGCUUUAGGGCUAGCCUCAAGGUAAAGAUACACGGGGGUAGAGCACUGACUGUUCGCGGGGCCUUCACCGGUUACCAACAACUAUCAAACUCCGAAUACCGUGGUAUCAUACUUGGGAGUCAGACUAUGAGAGAUAAGUUCCAUGGUCGAAAGGGAAACAGCCCAGAUCAACAGCUAAGGUCCCAAAGAGUAAGUUAAGUGGAAAAGGAUGUGGGAUUGCACAAACAGCUAGGAUGUUGGCUUAGAAGCAGCCAUACAUUUAAAGAGUGCGUAAUAGCUCACUAGUCGAGUGAUCCUGCGCCGAAGAUAAACGGGGCUCAAACUUACCACCGAAGCUUUGGAAUUAGUAUAACUAAUUGGUAGAGGAGCAUUCUAUACAGGUAGAAGGAGGCGCGUAAGCAAAUCUGGACGGUAUAGAAGAGAGAAUGUUGGCAUGAGUAGCGUAAGGCGGGUGAGAAUCCCGUCCGCCGAAAAUCUAAGGUUUCCUGAGGAAGGUUCGUCCUCUCAGGGUAAGUCGGGACCUAAGCCGAGAGCGAACGCUGUAGGCGAUGGACAACAGGUUGAUAUUCCUGUACCACCAAGGAUUGUUUGAAUGAAGUGGGGACACAGAAGGAUAGAUUGAGCACGCCGUUGGUUGAGCGUGUCCAAGCAGCAAGGCUUGAAAGUAGGCAAAUCCGCUUUCUACAAGGCUGAGCUGUGAUGGGGUGGUCGAAUGACCGGUAGCAAUCGAUUUCACGCUGUCAAGAAAAGCCGCUAAUGAGAUCCAAGGUGCCCGUACCGCAAACCGACACAGGUAGAUGAGGAGAGAAUCCUAAGGUGAGCGAGAGAACUAUUGUUAAGGAACUCGGCAAAAUAACCCCGUAACUUCGGGAGAAGGGGUGCCUGCUUCGGCAGGCCGCAGUGAAGAGGUCCAGGCAACUGUUUACCAAAAACACAGGUCUCUGCUAAAGCGAAAGCUGAUGUAUAGGGGCUGACGCCUGCCCGGUGCUGGAAGGUUAAGGGGAAGUGUUAGGGCAACCGAAGCACAGAACUUAAGCCCCAGUAAACGGCGGCCGUAACUAUAACGGUCCUAAGGUAGCGAAAUUCCUUGUCGGGUAAGUUCCGACCCGCACGAAAGGCGUAAUGAUCUGGGCACUGUCUCAACAAUAGACUCGGUGAAAUUGUAGUACCGGUAAAGAUGCCGGUUACCCGCAGCAGGACGGAAAGACCCCGUGGAGCUUCACUGUAGCUUGAUAUUGAUUUUCGGCAUUGCAUGUACAGGAUAGGUGGGAGACGUUGAGUUCAGCACGCCAGUGUUGGAGGAGUCACCGUUGGGAUACCACCCUUGUAAUGUUGGAAAUCUAACCUAGUACCGUGAUCCGGUACAGGGACAGUGUCAGGUGGGCAGUUUGACUGGGGCGGUCGCCUCCUAAAGAGUAACGGAGGCGUUCAAAGG
Molecule: ribosomal RNA, 2286 nt
Filed under: human metagenome
Description: bacterial LSU rRNA
Rfam family: Bacterial large subunit ribosomal RNA
Source: RNAcentral